CGGCGGCGCUCAGACAACAAAAGCGGAAGAUGCUGCAGUUGGGCAAGGUCAGGACCUUGCCCUGAAGCCGGGCGGCGCCGCGCACGCCUCUUCCCGGACUGAGGAGCUGUCGCCGGCGGAGGGUGCAUGUUUGCGAGGAAGCCGCCGGGCGCCGCGCCUUUGGGAGCUAUGCCUGUUCCAGACCAGCCUUCAUCAGCCUCAGAGAAGACGAGUUCCCUGAGCCCUGGCUUAAACACCUCCAACGGGGAUGGCUCUGAAACAGAAACCACCUCUGCUAUCCUCGCCUCAGUCAAAGAACAGGAAUUACAGUUUGAAAGGCUGACCCGAGAGCUGGAGGCUGAACGGCAGAUCGUAGCCAGCCAGCUGGAGCGAUGCAAGCUUGGAUCCGAGACUGGCAGCAUGAGCAGCAUGAGAAGCAGAAGGAAAACACUUCACCUCCCUACCUCUACAUCUGUUGUUUCAACCUGAAGUCUCGGGAACAUG
RNAcentral lists this small RNA (483 nucleotides) under Pan troglodytes (chimpanzee). RNAcentral's name for it is "processed transcript". Lineage: Eukaryota; Metazoa; Chordata; Mammalia; Primates; Hominidae. The record is from RNAcentral.